GAGGGAAGUUUGCUCUGUUCACCGGAUGUCUGGGGUGCCGCAGCCGAGAGCGCGGUGGUCCCCAGAAGCAGGAACCCUGUGAUCACGCAUCUUAUCACAUAUCCUUUGGAAUGGUAGCAAAGAUCAGCACAGGUGCUGAAGACAGCUAGUCACUGGGUGUUGAAAGCUAGUCUGCUAGUGAGGCUAAAAAGAAGCUGACUCUCAGAUGGGAAUUGUGCUAGAAGGACUGAGAAGGAUACAGUCUCCAAAAGUGAACUUUACUACAAGAGCCAGGGGAUUGAGCUGGAAAAUCCCUCGUAGCAACCGGCGAACAUGAUGUGGAAUAGAAGCCAAAUCCAUGAUCAAACCGGCAUCACUGCGAGGCCAACGAGCGACUGAAGCAUGUUGGAGUCUAGCAGCUGCUGCGUGUUCUACCACUGGACGUGAUGCUGAGCCCCUGACUUAUAUGGGACAUGACAGUGGAUAUAGUGCUCACAUAUGGAGCUAGAUCAAUGGGAAGUCACAGCUAAGAGCCAACAGGCAAAGCGGGAAAACCAGAUGACCGGAUCAAUUACUGGUAAAGUGUAGAAUCAGAAAAGAGCUGAAAUGUCACCUGUGCUUGCUGUUCAAUCUUAA
Hyla sarda is the source of this 615-nucleotide long non-coding RNA. RefSeq lists it as uncharacterized. The transcript is spliced from 3 exons. NCBI's taxonomy places the organism in Eukaryota, Metazoa, Chordata, Amphibia, Anura, Hylidae. The record is from RefSeq and is a predicted model, not a curated record.